AGGCAGGCCAAUCACUUGGGGCCAGGAGUUCGAGACCACCCUGGCCAAAUAGCGAAUCCCUGUCCCUACUCAAAAAUACAAUUAAUUGGGUGAGGGCGGGUGUGGUGGCUCACGCCUGUAAUCCCAGCGCUUUGGGAGGCCGAGGCGGGCAGAUCACGAGGUCAGGAGAUUGAGACCAUCCUGGCUAACAAGGUGAAACCCUAUCUCUACUAAAAAAUACAAAAAUUAGCGGGGCGUGGUGGCGGGCGCCUGUCGUCCCAGCUAUUUGGGAGGCUGAGGCAGGAGAAUGGCGUGAACCUGGGAGGCGGAGCUUGCAGUGAGCCGAGACGGCGCCACUGCACUCCAGCCUGGGUGACAGAGCGAGACUCUGUCUCAAAAAAAAAAAAAAAAAAAAAAAAAUUAGUUGGGUGUGGUGGCACUUGCCUGUAAUCCUAGCUUCUUGGGAGGCUGAGGCACGAGAAUCACUUGAACCCGGGGCAGAGGUUGCAGUGAGCCAAGAUAGCACCACUGCACUCCAGCCUGGGUGACAGAGCGAGACGCUGUCUCAAAAAAAAAAAAAAAAAAAAAAAAAAAAAAAAGGAUGGGGUAAAGGGCACCCUGCACAACUGCUAUGCAUCUCAAUAGUAAAGGCAAAAGGGAAUUAAUGCAUAUCACAGUUAUCUACAAUACUUGACUCUGCUUUUCUGGAAUUUAUAAACAAACAUUCAAUUAGAAUUCUGGGUCAUGCUGUAAUUCCAACUAGCCUUUGUCAGUUACAUAGGUGCCGUUUUACAUUUCCAUAUUUUACCCCAGAGGAUUUAUUUUUCACUUCUAAUAGAGAUGCAUCAAGUUUGUGUUGGGGAUCAGGAAUUAGCCGAGCGACGCAGAUGGCCUUCAUAAACCCCUGCUGCCACCUUGUGGUGUUGCUGAGGAGCGACAGAAACGUACCUAUCAGGCUUCCUGCAACGUUUUGCUCUACCUGCAACCCUACAACCUGAUAGGGGCCUUGUUAAUUCAACUGGGAUGAGGACAAUUCAGAUCAACCCGAUUAUCUGGGCAGAGAACAAACACUCUGUGAACAACAACCAUUGACUUUCAGAGGGAAUACCAGACCUCUCCCAAGAAAGGGGAACCCACUUCAAAUAUUUACUGUCUCAUUGUGGAACCCGACAGGAUUCGCUUCAAUUCUGAGUAAUCCUCCUUUAAGAUCCCCUGCAGCAGGUGGAUGAUGGUGUCUUAGUUUUGUCUCCAUGGUUCACACAUCAUGGGAAGCAGAUUAGAUGAGUGAGAAAUACUCAUUUUUCUCAUCAAGUAUGCUCACCCCUGCCUCCCAGUAGAGCUAAGAAAUGAUCUGAAAGAUGGAGAUUGGAAAGCAUUGCAGGCAGAAGUAGAGCACGUGCAAAGGCC
RNAcentral lists this long non-coding RNA (1386 nucleotides) under Macaca mulatta (Rhesus monkey). RNAcentral describes it as "lncRNA (ENSMMUG00000060424.1)". Lineage: Eukaryota; Metazoa; Chordata; Mammalia; Primates; Cercopithecidae. The record is from RNAcentral.